GUUGCCAUAGCUCAACGGUAGAGCAACUCACUGUUAAUGAGAAGAAGGAGGUUCGAUUCCUCCUGGCGGCU
This 71-nucleotide transfer RNA is filed under the name Rickettsiaceae bacterium. RNAcentral's name for it is "tRNA-Asn". It matches the Rfam family "tRNA". Rfam says of the family: Transfer RNA (tRNA) molecules are approximately 80 nucleotides in length. Their secondary structure includes four short double-helical elements and three loops (D, anti-codon, and T loops). Further hydrogen bonds mediate the characteristic L-shaped molecular structure. tRNAs have two regions of fundamental functional importance: the anti-codon, which is responsible for specific mRNA codon recognition, and the 3' end, to which the tRNAs corresponding amino acid is attached (by aminoacyl-tRNA synthetases). tRNAs cope with the degeneracy of the genetic code in two manners: having more than one tRNA (with a specific anti-codon) for a particular amino acid; and 'wobble' base-pairing, i.e. permitting non-standard base-pairing at the 3rd anti-codon position. The record is from RNAcentral. Lineage: Bacteria; Pseudomonadati; Pseudomonadota; Alphaproteobacteria; Rickettsiales; Rickettsiaceae.